GAUGGCCCGCAACCAGUUUGACCGGCGAACAUGUUUCACUGACCCACAGGGGCUGGCAUGAUCUCAUCCUCCCCCUGUGUCGGGAGGCGGCCGAGCACCGCGCGGCUUCCUCUCGGCAGACCCAAACCCCGGCGCUUCGUGCGCCAAGGAAUCCAAAAAAUGUUCAGUGCGGGCCCCGGGGAGCUGGAGACAGCGCCCCGCGGGUCUCGUCACCACACACGAAAGAAGAAUGACUCUCGGCAAUGGAUAUCUCGGCUCUUGCAUCGAUGAAGAACGUAGCGAAAUGCGAUACUUGGUGUGAAUUGCAGAAUCCCGUGAACCAUCGAGUCUUUGAACGCAAGUUGCGCCCGAAGCCAUUAGGCCGAGGGCAUGCCUGCCUGGGUGUCACACAUUGUUACCCCCCACGCAAAUGGCCACCGUCAGCCGGUGCGUGGUGUGUGCACGGUGACCUCCCGCGGGCCGUGUCUCGCGGUUGGUUGAAAAUCGGGUUCGCGGUCGGGCGCGCCGUGAUAAAAUGGUGGACGGGCAACGCCCGAGGCCAAUCACGUGCGGUCGUGUCCGGUUUGACCCUUGGGCCCCUGCGGCGUCUCGGGACGC
This 597-nucleotide ribosomal RNA is filed under the name Sohmaea gracillima. RNAcentral describes it as "eukaryotic LSU rRNA". The stretch from base 232 to 387 matches the Rfam family "5.8S ribosomal RNA". The record is from RNAcentral. Lineage: Eukaryota; Viridiplantae; Streptophyta; Magnoliopsida; Fabales; Fabaceae.